CACCCUUUUCCAUACCAGCAAAUCUGUCUAAGUCAGAUGGGGAAGAGACAAAGCACUUCCCUCUAGCAAAGGACUUUGAGAUUUCUGCUAGCCUGCCUGAAGAGCUGACAAA
This 112-nucleotide small nucleolar RNA is filed under the name Malurus cyaneus samueli. RNAcentral describes it as "Small nucleolar RNA SNORA49 (ENSMCSG00000004192.1)". It matches the Rfam family "Small nucleolar RNA SNORA49". Rfam says of the family: The snoRNA ACA49 has no identified RNA target. Lineage: Eukaryota; Metazoa; Chordata; Aves; Passeriformes; Maluridae. The record is from Rfam by way of RNAcentral.